RNAcentral lists this long non-coding RNA (1200 nucleotides) under Vigna radiata. RNAcentral describes it as "long non-coding RNA (VRAD_LNC017233)". The record is from RNAcentral. Lineage: Eukaryota; Viridiplantae; Streptophyta; Magnoliopsida; Fabales; Fabaceae.
GGCCAUGUAGUGUACGUUUGUUUAAGGCUUGUAUUAAGGCCUAAGUAGCAUAGGAUUUUCCUUAAAAAGUUAGGCAUCCAAACCAAGUGAAAAGUGUGUGCCAUGCGGCAUGCUUCCAUUGGAGAGGAUUUGCUUUUAAAAAGGUAGCCACAUGGCACCCUAGGAGUGGAGAGGAUUUACUUUUAGUAGUGGUCAAAUGGCACUCUAGGAAUGAAGAGGAUUGUGUUUUGUGAGUGGCCACAUGUCCUCCCAUCAUUGGAGAGGUUAGAAGGCCUCAUUUUUGGCAAAUGAGAGCAAAGGUGGGAGAUCAUGCUUUUAGGGUUAGAAGGAGACACCCUUGGCCUAUAAAUAGAGGUGUCUCCACCCUUGUAUUUCAUCUUUGAUUUUGAGUAAUGUUAUGCUGCCCAUUUUUGGCCAUACUACUCAUCUUAGAUCAAGACUAGAGCAACCCAUGAGGCCCCUCUAGUCACCUUCCUCCUUGAGUUGGCCUAACCUCUCUUGGAUCCAUCAAACACUACGCCACCACCACCACAUCUCCUAGAGGCUUUGAGCUUCUACACCAUUCAUACAAUAGCUCAUCAUCCUUGGACCAUUUACCACCACAUUUCCGCACCAUUCAUCCAAGGAAACACCCGUCCAUUGCAUCCUUCUAAGCUUUGGCCCAACUUAACUUAAGGAGGUUGCCAUCAUUUGGUAUCACAGCUUUGGUUCUUCAAGAGCUAAGUCUUUUGGUUCUUAUCUAUCCUUUAUUUUUCCAUAUUGUUGAUGCUUUUUUUUCCCUACUUGUCUUGUGUUUUGUUUUCCAUCUAUCAUUUGUUCUGGUAGCAAACUGUGACGAUUUUGAAACUUGAACUGCAUCUAGCUCAGUUGUCCAAAAAAUACGUAAAAAUAUUCAAAUGAAAGCCCUUGGAGUGUAGUUUCCAACAAAACAAGAAUCGCUUCAUUUGGAUUUCUGUGCAGAACGUUAUAAGUAAAACAUUCGGCAAAGGUCAAAGUUGCCAGGAUGUUGUCAUUAGCGUUUUUCAAGUUUGUUUUCGGUAGUUUUGGCUAAUUUUUUGUGCUUUUUCUUUCUUUUGAGUCAUUCCUUGUUGUGUUUUUUGGUCUUAUAUGCUUAUUUUGUUUCAUUUUCAUUUUUGAAUCCAUCCAUGUUGUCUAGAGUCAUGUUUAGUCCUUUAAAUGUCUUUACUUCAAUGUUUAACC